Long non-coding RNA from Pogoniulus pusillus (Red-fronted tinkerbird), 297 nucleotides. RefSeq lists it as uncharacterized. The transcript has 2 exons. Lineage: Eukaryota; Metazoa; Chordata; Aves; Piciformes; Lybiidae. The record is from RefSeq and is a predicted model, not a curated record.
AGCUCUAGUGAGUAUGAAUUUGUGAGGUAUGGGACAGGAUGGAGGAAAGUGAGGAGUGAUUCGAGGGCUCAGCAGAGUCACUGACAGGAUCUUUAGGAUGGGAUAAUCCAGCUAUUUAGAUGGCUCUGCUGCUACAAUUUGAUAUCAUCUCCUGGUCAAAAGAGGCUUUCUCAUUUGUGGUUCCAAAGUAACCAGCAAUGCCUUUUAUACAUUCCAGGCUCUUAAGAUUAAAUGUUCUCCUUUCACAGUAUAAAUGGAAUCGUGGAGCAAUUUCACCAGCACAGAGCACAUUCUUAA